GGAAACCGAGAUUUUCCUUCUGAGAAAUGGAAGCUGAUGUUUCCAUUGAUAUUUUAUAAACCCUAAUCGUUCUCCGUUUCAAUCUCCAUCGUCUCCCUUUUCUCUUUCACUGAUUAGGGUUCUUCGGUCCAUGGCUUUGAGUGCUAUGAAUCCAGGUCUCGCCUUAUUGUUUUCACUUCUUUUGGUUGGUUGUUGCGGCUCUGCAGCUAAUGUGGUAUUGAUUGGGACCAACGUUACUCUUUCGUUCGACUCCAUUGAAGCUAAUUUCGCUCCUUCAAUAGAAAGUUCAGGGGAACCUGGGGUGUUAUUUCUGGCCAAACCUCUGG
Molecule: unclassified non-coding RNA, 326 nt
Filed under: Hevea brasiliensis (rubber tree)
Lineage: Eukaryota; Viridiplantae; Streptophyta; Magnoliopsida; Malpighiales; Euphorbiaceae
Source: RNAcentral